This 504-nucleotide ribosomal RNA is filed under the name uncultured Oceanospirillales bacterium. RNAcentral's name for it is "bacterial SSU rRNA". It matches the Rfam family "Bacterial small subunit ribosomal RNA", at positions 30 to 536 of the family's 1533-position model. Lineage: Bacteria; Pseudomonadati; Pseudomonadota; Gammaproteobacteria; Oceanospirillales. The record is from RNAcentral.
AUUGAACGCUGGCGGCAGGCCUAACACAUGCAAGUCGGGCGGUAACAGGAGAGCUUGCUCUUGCUGACGAGCGGCGGACGGGUGAGUAAAGUCUAGGAAUCUGCCCAUUAGAGGGGGAUAACGCGGGGAAACUCGCGCUAAUACCGCAUACGCCCUACGGGGAAAGGUGCUUAAUUGUACCGCUAAUGGAUGAGCCUAGAUCGGAUUAGCUAGUUGGUAGGGUAAAGGCCUACCAAGGCGACGAUCCGUAGCUGGUCUGAGAGGAUGAUCAGCCACACUGGGACUGAGACACGGCCCAGACUCCUACGGGAGGCAGCAGUGGGGAAUAUUGGACAAUGGGGGCGAACCCUGAUCCAGCCAUGCCGCGUGUGUGAAGAAGGUCUUCGGAUUGUAAAGCACUUUAAGUUGUGAGGAAGGGUAGAGUAAUGACCUACUUUUGACGUUAGCAACAGAAUAAGCACCGGCUAACUUCGUGCCAGCAGCCGCCGUAAAACCGAGACUGCC